AUUGAACGCUGGCGGCAGGCCUAACACAUGCAAGUCGAACGAGUGGCGGACGGGUGAGUAAUGUAUGGGGAACUGCCCGAUAGAGGGGGAUAACUACUGGAAACGGUGGCUAAUACCGCAUACCAUCGGAUGUACCCAUAUGGGAUUAGCUAGUAGGUGGGGUAAAGGCUCACCUAGGCGACGAUCUCUAGCUGGUCUGAGAGGAUGAACAGCCACACUGGGACUGAGACACGGCCCAGACUCCUACGGGAGGUAGCAGUGGGGAAUAUUGCACAAUGGGCGCAAGCCUGAUGCAGCCAUGCCGCGUGUAUGAAGAAGGCCUUAGGGUUGUAAAGUACUUUCAGCGAGGAGGCGUUACCCGCAGAAGAAGCACCGGCUAACUCCGUGCCAGCAGCCGCGGUAAUUC
This 406-nucleotide ribosomal RNA is filed under the name uncultured bacterium. RNAcentral describes it as "partial 16S ribosomal RNA". It matches the Rfam family "Bacterial small subunit ribosomal RNA", at positions 30 to 526 of the family's 1533-position model. The record is from RNAcentral.